RNAcentral lists this long non-coding RNA (1170 nucleotides) under Marmota monax (woodchuck). The record is from RNAcentral. Lineage: Eukaryota; Metazoa; Chordata; Mammalia; Rodentia; Sciuridae.
GGCCUCUCCGCGGCUCUGUCGCCCGCCAGCAGCGCGACAGCGGCGGCCGCGGACCCGCGUUGCGACCGCCAUCUGCUGGUCGAAGCGUGAAUGACACUUCUUCGCGCUUCCUGCUCCCGCGGGGGAGUCGACGCGAUGUCCUUGAGAACAACGACGCAGGGGACCAUGGAAGGGGACGCGGUGGAAGGGCGGGCUUAGCUUAGCGGGACAGGCCGAGGAGCGCGAGAGGCUGACUGUGGCCCGGCGACCCACCGGUCCGCGAGCGGGACGGACACUUGUCUCACGUUGCCUGUGAGCCCAGUGCUGAGAGCGUGGGGACCCGCACAGAGCAACAAGACGUGGACCCAGUUCCUCCUGGACCUGGAGGUGAAGGCAGGGACAGCUUGACAAACAAGCAACGCCAUCAGAAGCCCAGGGGCCCACAUGGGGGCGGCAGACGGGUGGCUUCCUCCAGGAGGUGAGGCUGGGAGAGUCAGCAGCGGGCGUUUCCACCUGGGCACCCGGCAGGGGCCAACUGCAGGUGCCUGUGGGGCGACCAAGGGCGUGUAUUCUUCCCUGGAGCUGCCUCACCAAAGGGCCACAGAGUAGGUGGCUUAAAACGACAGAAAUUUAUUCUCCCAUGGUUCUGGAGUUGGUACCUCUAAGUGUGCACAGGGCCCUGCUUGCAGAGGCUCCAGAGGAGGAUCUGCUCCAUUCCUUUCUCCUAGGGGGCCACCUGUCACUCCAGCCUGCCUUCCUCCCAGUGCCAUUCUGCAGCAUGUCCGUGUCUCUUCUCUGUUUAUAAGGACAGCAGUCGUGUUGGAGUAGACCCUACUCUAAUAAAAUAUGACUUUAUUUUAACUUGAUCAUAUCUGCAAAGAUGGUUUCUGAAGAAGCUCACGGUGCUGGGGGUAGGACUGCAACUCAGCUUCUGUAGAAUCUCGACUCCACCCACAGCAGGCGUGCUCUGGGUGGGCAGGCAAGUCCAGAGUGGGAAUUGUGGGCUCUGCUCUCCAGGCAGAGGGAACACUGAAGGGUCUCCAUGAUCUCAAGUAACCUGAGUGGCCCCAGGCAAGCACCAGUCUGGUGCAGAGACUUACAGAAAGGAGGGCUGGGGACAUUUCUACUUCCCCAGGGAAGGACUUGGGAGUGGGGACUGCUCAAGGUUUCAGAUCAACCAAUAUACUGUAG